Molecule: ribosomal RNA, 450 nt
Filed under: uncultured bacterium
Lineage: Bacteria
Description: bacterial SSU rRNA
Rfam family: Bacterial small subunit ribosomal RNA
Source: RNAcentral
ACUCCUACGGGAGGCAGCAGUGGGGAAUAUUGCACAAUGGGCGCAAGCCUGAUGCAGCAACGCCGUGUGAGUGAAGAAGGUUUUCGGAUCGUAAAACUCUGUCCUAAGGGAAGAACAAAUGACGGUACCUUAGGAGGAAGCCCCGGCUAACUACGUGCCAGCAGCCGCGGUAAUACGGAGGGUGCGAGCGUUAAUCGGAAUUACUGGGCGUAAAGCGCAUGCAGGUGGUUUGUUAAGUCAGAUGUGAAAGCCCGGGGCUCAACCUCGGAACUGCAUUUGAAACUGGCAGACUAGAGUACUGUAGAGGGGGGUAGAAUUUCAGGUGUAGCGGUGAAAUGCGUAGAGAUCUGAAGGAAUACCGGUGGCGAAGGCGGCCCCCUGGACAGAUACUGACACUCAGAUGCGAAAGCGUGGGGAGCAAACAGGAUUAGAUACCCUGGUAGCACAGAG